UGGGGAAUAUUGCGCAAUGGGCGAAAGCCUGACGCAGCGACGCCGCGUGGGGGAUGACGGCCUUCGGGUUGUAAACCUCUUUCAGCAGGGACGAAGCGAGAGUGACGGUACCUGCAGAAGAAGCACCGGCCAACUACGUGCCAGCAGCCGCGGUAAUACGUAGGGUGCAAGCGUUGUCCGGAAUUAUUGGGCGUAAAGAGCUCGUAGGCGGUUUGUUGCGUCGGCUGUGAAAACCUGAGGCUCAACCUCAGGCCUGCAGUCGAUACGAGCAGACUAGAGUGUUGCAGGGGAGACUGGAAUUCCUGGUGUAGCGGUGAAAUGCGCAGAUAUCAGGAGGAACACCGGUGGCGAAGGCGGGUCUCUGGGCAACAACUGACGCUGAGGAGCGAAAGCGUGGGGAGCGAACAGGAUUAGAUACCCUGGUAGUCCACGCCGUAAACGUUGGGCGCUAGGUGUGGGGCUCAUUCCACGAGUUCCGUGCCGCAGCUAACGCAUUAAGCGCCCCGCCUGGGGAGUACGGCCGCAAGGCUAAAACUUAAAGGAAUUGACGGGGUCAUAGCUGUUUCCU
This 568-nucleotide ribosomal RNA is filed under the name uncultured bacterium. Its description in RNAcentral is "partial 16S ribosomal RNA". It matches the Rfam family "Bacterial small subunit ribosomal RNA", at positions 355 to 1375 of the family's 1533-position model. The record is from RNAcentral.